GAGAUUCUUACCAUUCCUUUCAUUUCUACCAAACUAAAAGCAAGAGAAUGGAGAAAAUAGAAGAAGAAGAAGAAGAAGAAGAAGAAGAAGAGCAAGGGAGGAGAAAGCAAGAGUUUCCUACCAAGUAAGAUGUGGAUUUAGGGAACCCUUCAGAGACUGUGACUGAGGAGCCGGCCCUCUACGGAGUUGACUUCAGGGACGAAGAAUUGGUCAUACAUGAGGACGAUUGUGUAUGCAACGAUUGUGCUUUCAGAGCACGUUGAAGAUGAGAGUAUCAUCUUCCCUUUUAAUCCUUUUGUUUACAUAUCAAAUGUAGCCCUAGGCGCAUAAUUGUAAUUAAUAUCCUGUUGCGAAAACAUUUUGUUAAAUAUGAUAUUUAUGAUUAGACUCCACCAGUCAUGUAUAUUUGACUCUUAUUAUUAUCUUGUGAUCAUAGAAUCAUUUCAUAA
Macadamia integrifolia is the source of this 449-nucleotide long non-coding RNA. RefSeq lists it as uncharacterized. Lineage: Eukaryota; Viridiplantae; Streptophyta; Magnoliopsida; Proteales; Proteaceae. The transcript has 2 exons. The record is from RefSeq and is a predicted model, not a curated record.